Cebus imitator (Panamanian white-faced capuchin) is the source of this 290-nucleotide unclassified non-coding RNA. It matches the Rfam family "Metazoan signal recognition particle RNA". From Rfam's summary of the family: The signal recognition particle (SRP) is a universally conserved ribonucleoprotein. The record is from Ensembl. Lineage: Eukaryota; Metazoa; Chordata; Mammalia; Primates; Cebidae.
GCCGGGCACGGUGGCGCUGCCUGUACUGCUGGGGAGGCUGAGGCUGGAGGAUCUCUUGGGUCCAGGAGUUCUGGGCUGUAGUGUACUAUGCCAGUCGGUGUCUGCACUAAGUUCAGCAUCAGUAUGGUGACCUCCCAGGAACAGGGGACCACCAGGUUGCCUAAGGAGGGGUAAACCAGCCAAGGUCAGAAAUGGAGCAGGUCAAAACUCCCAUGCUGAUCAGUAGUGGGACUGCGCCUGUGAAUGGCCACUGCACUCCAGCCUGGGCAGCAUAGCGAGACCCUGUCUCU